This 6559-nucleotide long non-coding RNA is filed under the name Panax ginseng (ginseng). RNAcentral describes it as "long non-coding RNA (PGIN_LNC011776)". Lineage: Eukaryota; Viridiplantae; Streptophyta; Magnoliopsida; Apiales; Araliaceae. The record is from RNAcentral.
GGAAAAAAAUAGUACAUGUAAUAUUUACCUUGCUUUAUCAUUGAUUUUGUCAAAACGAAUUCCUUCUUUGUACCCAUACCGGUGCAGCUCUGAUCCUACAUUAACGAUCCUUCCUUCUUUACCACAUUCGCGUGCGGUUUUUUUCAAGGUGUCCAACAAAAGAUUUGUCAAAAGGAAUGGACCCAAAUGGUUAACGGCAAAUUGCUGUUCUAUGUUGUCCUUGGAAAGCGUGAAUGGAGGUGCCAUGAUCCCUGCAUUGUUACUGUCAACACCAAAGACUACGAGUUCAGUUAUAUGCUAAGGUAGAUUAGGCCAUUAUGAUACAUUGAAGCGUAUUUAAGAAAAAUUACAAGACAAAAGACGGUUAAAUGUUAAAUAGCAGUUUUCUUACACAAGGAUGUUCAGGGGAAGACCAGUGGCGAUAAAUUCAGCAACAAAUUUCCUUAUGGAUGCCUGUGAAUUGAGAUCAAUCUCCAUUACAUCAAGUUUAGCACCGGGGAUUUUCUGGCGUAAUUCUUCUUUAACUUUUUCACCAGCUUUAACAUUUCUCACUCCCAUAAUUACAUGAACGCCACGUAAGGCAAGGACACGGGUAGUUUCUUUACCAAUACCAUUUGAUGCUCCUGAGGUUAUACAGAGUGUUAUUAAGCACUUUUCGGUUAAGUCAUAGAUUAAGUACAGAUCAUUCUCAUAUAGUGGACCAAACAAGUUUAUGGGAAAGUAUGAAGCAUCAGGAAUUCAAUUAAGUUAAGAAUCACACUUUUUAUAACAAGAUAAAUCUCGGUUUAAGGAUUACCUUUUACAUAAAUCGACAGUCGGUCACAUCUACAAUCUAAUAGAACAACUAUGAACAAAGUCUGAGAAACCCACAAUUUUCUUGGAUUUUGAAUUUCACUGUCCUAAGAUAUUUUAUCCCAAUUGUAAUACCUCAAACCAUAAGAAAUGUUCCAACAUGCACAUACUGAUGAUAUUUAACCCCCAAAAGAAGAAGAAAAAAAAACACCAAGUGAAUUGAUAAUAAGAUCCAGAUGACUACUGAUGAUCCCAAAAUAUCGAAAUGGAUUAACUUAUUUAUAUAUCGCAUUGUUCUUGAUUCAGCUUGGUAACUGUUACUGAAUUAGAACUGCAUACUCAUGUAAACAUUUCAACAAGCACAUUAUGCGCUAAUUUACAAUAACAUCUUACUAAAAAAUCUUGCUUUCUUUGUUUUCUAAUAAUAAUCUUAUUUCCCCCCUUCUUCUGGGAGUUGAGUAGGUGGUAUUUGGUAUUUUUCUUUCUUUCAAACUAAUUUCUCAUUCUUCUAGAUGAAUUGAUGUCAUGAAUAAGUAAUCAAAAAUAGUUCAAACUAAAAGCCCAACAACUUUUAUAUGAUUAAGAAAUCAUCAAACUAGACAGGCAUAUAUAUGAGGAACAAAAUCAAAAACAAUUCAAACCAAGAACAUGAUAAUAUUAGAAAUUGGGACCAACCCAUCAAAGAACAAAGAAAACUGUAAACAUUAUACAGAAAGAACAGAGUAAAAAAAGAAAAGAAAAGGAAAUUAACCCAGAUGAGAAAAAAAGACCUGUAACAAUGGCAACAAGGCCAGUUCCAUCAACUCCUUUGGUAACUUUCUCAGCAGUGGAGCUGGCAGAGAACCCAGAUUUUCCUUUAAUUCCAAAGAUCCACAUAUUUUUUCAAAUACCCAAUAAGAUUCUUGAUCAAAAACUGAAGAAACAAAUAGUAGCAGCUCUUUUUUGCUAGUAAUAGAAAAUAUUCUUUACCUCUGUAUUUAGCUAUGGAACCUACACUAUAUAAAUAUAGAGAGAGCUUGACAGAUGUAUAAAAUUUAUACGUAAAGUAUAGCUCAUGUAUGACGUUGGGAACCGUGUUGAAGAAUGAAUGAAAACAGGGGACACUAGCUGGCCUAUUUCGGUAUCAGAAUUCAGCCCAAGUGGACUUAGAAUAUUAUGGUCUUUGCGGGGUUGACUUCCAUUGUAGCAGCCAUCAAAAUAGACCAUAUUAAUUUUGGCCUUUUGGGUGGUUACAAUUAUAGUAAAUACUAGCAGUCGCACAUCCGUGUAAAUUAUGUAGAUUAUGUAGAUAAAAUAAAAAAUUUAUAAAAUUUAAAAGAGAAAAUAAAAAGGUAUAAAAAAUUAACAUUAAAAAGGAUAAAAUUGUAAUAUAUCCAGUUAUAAGAGCGAAAGAGUGAAAAGAAAAAAAAGUACGACUCAAUUAUACUUAAACUUGUGGAGGAAGCUUUCACGGAGACUUUAUAAUAUAUAUAUAUAUAUAUAUAUAUAUAUAUAUAUAUAUAUAUAUAUAGUUGUGUAGUACACAGUCGUUUAUGGCGACAGUUUUUUUUGAGCUAUAACGACGGUGAACCGAUAGUGACGAGUUCACACCCGUCGCUAUAGUUCAAAAAAUAUUGCAAUCAAGAAAUUAAUGAUUAUGACACAUUUAAAUAGGAAACUGAUAAAUCCACAACAUUACACAUGAAAAGUGUUGCUAUAGAUGUAUAGCAACGGUGAAAAGUCGUCGCUAUACAUCUAUAACGAUACUUUUCAUAUGUAGAUAUCAAAAAGUGUUAUAAAAAUAUGAAUUUUCAUUUAAAUAUAAUAGUUGAGGUGAUUUUUUAAAAUAAAAUGUUUCAUUUGGAUGACAUGACAUGAACCAAUAAUAAGUGACCUUUCAUUUCUACUAUACUAUGCCAAAUUGACUUAUGAUGAUUCAUAGUUCAUGAUAAUUUCAGAUGUCUAUGAUCGAGAAUUUUGUAAUUAAAAUGAUUAUCGAUUUAAUUUUAAAAUAAUAUUAAUAUCACAUAAAAGUAUCACAUAAUGCUCACAUACUAUAUGUGUGACACACAUGAAUUCAUUGUUGACAUGACUCACUUAACUCAACAACAAAUUCAUGGGUGUCACCCAUGCAAUAUGUGAGCGGCAUGUGAUAGUAGCAUUAUUAUUAAUUAUAAUUAAUUUGUAUAUUGAAAAGACGUAAAUAAUAAAUUUUAUGAAAUUAAUUAUAAUUAGGCCGCGUAAUCUGUCUAAAUGAUAUAUAAUGUAUUCAUUGUGUAGUCGACUUGACAUGCAUAUAUAGUUGUAUGAGGAGUAAGUAGCUAGUAACUAAUGUAAAUCUCAUUCUUAUUGAUACAAAGUAGUUUGAAAAAAAUUAUAAUAAUAAUUGUUGAAGUACAUCUAUCUAAUAAAAUACAAAUGAUUUUGAAUUUUCCGCUCACUCAAUAAAUUAUCUGGGCCGUCUAAAAUUUGGGAUAAAUCUCACCGUCCAUACAUCUAUCUAAUAAAAUACAUCUAUUUAUCUAUCUAAUAAAAUACAAAUAAUUUUGAAUUUCCCCCUCACUCAAUAAAUCAUCUGGGCCGUUCAAAAUUUGAGUCUCACUGUCCAUACAGUGUCCCCAGCCAGUAACUACAUAUAACAGGAAUUCAAACUGAGGUUGCUUAAACUUAAAGAACACACUAAAUCCUUUGUCAAGAAAAACCAACAACUUACAAACACAAUAGCUAAGUAAUUACAACUGAACAUUCUUUUUGUUUUUGUUUUUGUUCUUGUUUUCUUUUGCCGCAUUGGUGCCAAACAAAAGUAAAAAUAAUAGUCUCUAGACUUCACAAAAGAGUCAUAUUUGUUUUUUUUUUUUCUCUUUUUUUCUGCUAAAUUGAGAGUAUAUUGAAAAAAACAAAGGAACGAGAUCUGGGGACAUAACCGCAAAGCCACUAUAGCAGAAACAUCAUAGACAGGCCAAUGAUGCAGAUGCAAAUGUUAUAGUCAAAAGACUAUAACUGUCAAACCCUAAGAAAAUGGCUUUUCUACAAAUUUACUAAAUUUCUUAACAGGGAAUAAUUUACAUUUGAUAAUGUUAAUACAAUCUUGAGCAGUAGUAGAGGCAGCUGAGGGUUUAUCUCCAUGGUAUAUGUGAUUUUGCUUGUUCAAUAUCUUGUACACCAUAAUAGCCAAGCAAAGUUUUAUGAUGCAUCAUGUAAUCCAUACGAAUUAAUGAACUGAACAUGAUGUAUAAAUUGAUCCCAGCUAAAAGAUAUCCCAAACCUAUCAGCAAAAAUAGCUCUAAAUAUGUGCUUAGAAACUCAUUCAAAAAAGAGGUGGUCAAAUGAUUCAAAAAAGAGGUGGAAGAUUUGACUUGAGAAAGACCUGCCCAUAGCACUUGAUCAGGUAUGAUUGAGGGAGGAGGGAUUAAAAGGAGCUUCUGCUUCAUGAGAAGAAUACUAGCAUAGUUCGAGGGAGGAGGAGACCGAGUGCAGUUGCUUAUAAUCUCUCUAACAGUGGCAUUAAACAAGAUCCCAAAAAUAGAGACGAUGGGAUCAAGGGGGGUAGGUUGGUUUUCCAGCCAAGCCAAGGAUCCUGCCACAGUCUAAUGCCCAGACCAUUUCCAACUUUGUAUUCAAUAAAACGGGCAACUAACUGCCUAAGGUUCACGACCUUUCUCCAAAUACAAGAAGCGCAUCAUAGGGGACGGGAGUAGUCCAAAAAUUGUGCUUUAAAAGCAUAGUCUUUCGAACCCAUUCAGCCCAAAAAGAGGUAGAAUUAAAACUUACCACUUGCCACACGUGAUAUAUAAUUUGUGCCUUAUUCCAUUCUUCAACACUUUUCACACCCAAACCUCCCUCAGCAAGGGAAAGAGCGACUCUUUUCCAAGCUAUUUUGGAGCUCAUCUGAACUUAUACUAUAUAUAUUUCCUGUAAAAUUAAUCUAAAAGUUAAUUGGACUAUACUUAAUUGUCUCCUCAGAUUCUCUGCAAGCAACUAGAAGUUCACAAGAUUUUUAGAUCAGAAACAAAAAGAUUUAAUGCCAUGAUUCGAAGGGUUUAAUUUCCUCAAACAAUUACCAACAACUCUGAGAUAUAUAAAAAUGAAUCUUUUUAUUUCCAAGCUCACGAUAUUACACCGCUACAAGUUAUUUUUCUAACUCAUAAUAAUUACACAAUAUAUCUCACAAACAGGGCUACCAAAUUUUAAUAUUAUACAAACGCACACCAGAAAUUCGAAACACCAUGUAGUUUUCCACCUUCAUUACGUAUAAGGGCACACCAGAAAAAAAUUCAAAAUUAUUUUUUCUCCGUGAAGGUCAAGCUGACCUCCCACAAUUUCUUGGCCAAUUCUGGAUCUCUAGCUAGGGAGCUCGCUUUAGCUAUGUUGCUGUCCAUGAAAUAUUCACCACUAACCCCAUUAACUUUCGGACUCAAUGCCAAAUAGCAACUAGUUGCUGCUCCCUGGCUAACAUUUUUCAUAAAAAAUUGUGUACAACCAAAUAUGCCUGCAAUUCAUCAGCAAGGAACCAGAUCAAUAUAUGUUCCAACUAAUAUUUUAUAUAAUAUGAUUGAUAUAUGUUCAUACGACAACAACAUAGAAGUGUUGAUAAUAUUAGGUGAAGAGCGCGGAAUAGUAAAUUAAAAGGCUCGAAUACAUACAACCAAGAAGGCCGCUGUUUUGAACAAUAUUGGUGGCAAUAACUCCAGGAUGAAGUGAAUUUGCAGUCACAUUAGCUCCUUCAUCCUGAUAAUGACCAAAUAGAAAAAUUAAGCAAUGUUCUUAUAUUAAAAUUAAAUUCUAACAAGCAUGAUGAAUGACGAUAACUGCAGUAUGAAUUACGCGAACAGGUGGUCUUGCUAUAAUUGGUCAUAUUUGGCCAUAUUUGGCAUGAUUAAAAGAUUACUUGUACAAAACUCUAUAUCGAACAAAUAUUAUUUACACAACAUCCUCGAUCAAUCGAAGACUUUUCUCUUUUAUUUUUGAAUUCAGUGUGAAAUUAUUAGAAAAAAGAUGGAACAUUAGCAUUUUGGCUAAAUAAAAAUUGUACCUAAAGAUGCCUAGUUUAGGAUUAAAGUUUAACCAUCUUCAUGUGUAUAUUUAGAAAGUUAUUAGAGUAAAUGAUUACCUUCAAGCGCCUUGCUAGCUCAACACAGUGCAAUGUGUUACAGAGCUUGGACUGUCCAUAAGCACUGUUGGGGUUGUAACUGGAAAUUAUGAACAAAAUCAGAGGAAACAUUUAAAUUUAGACGAAUGGAAUAUGGUAAAACUCGUAACCUUUUAGUAGUUUGUUCAUAAUUAUGAAGAAAAAAAACAGUACAUGUAAUAUUUACCUUGCUUUAUCAUUGAUUUUGUCAAAACGAAUUCCUUCUUUGUACCCAUACCGGUGCAGCUCUGAUCCUACAUUAACGAUCCUUCCUUCUUUACCACAUUCGCGUGCGGUUUUUUUCAAGGUGUCCAACAAAAGAUUUGUCAAAAGGAAUGGACCCAAAUGGUUAACGGCAAAUUGCUGUUCUAUGUUGUCCUUGGAAAGCGUGAAUGGAGGUGCCAUGAGCCCUGCAUUGUUACUGUCAACACCAAAGAUUACAAAUUCAGUUAUAUGCUCAGGUAGAUUAGGCCAUUAUGAUACAUACUUGUAUUUAAGAAAAAUUACAAGACAAAAGACGGUUAAAUGUUAAAUAGCAGUUUUCUUACACAAGGAUGUUCAGGGGAAGACCGGUGGCGAUAAAUUCAGCAACAAAUUUCCUUAUGGAUGCUUGUGAAUUGAGAUCAAUCUCCAUUACAUCAAGUUUAGCACCGGGGAUUU